GCUACUUUUGCCGGCUAGCGGGGGACGGGUGAGUAAUGGCUGGGGAUCUGCCCACUCAAGGGGGAUAACUACUGGAUACCGUAUCUAAUACCACAUACACCCUACGGGGGAAAGCAGGGGACCUUCGGGCCUUGCGCGAUUGGAUGAAUCCAGGUGGGAUUAGCUAGUUGGUGAGGUAACGGCUCACCAAGGCGACGAUCCGUAGCUGGUCUGAGAGGAUGAUCAGCCACACUGGAACUGAGACACGGUCCAGACUCCUACGGGAGGCAGCAGUGGGGAAUAUUGCACAAUGGGGGAAACCCUGAUGCAGCCAUGCCGCGUGUGUGAAGAAGGCCUUCGGAUUGUAAACCUCUUUCAGAGAGGAGGAAAGGUCUGUAGUUAAUUUGUGUUGGCUGUGACGUUUCUCGCAGAAGAAGCCCCGGCUUACUUCGUUCCCGCCACCGCGGUUAUUCGGAGGGUGCAAGCGUUUAUUGGAAUUUCUGGGGGUAAAGCGCCCGCAGGCGGUUGGAUAAGUUCGAUGUGAAAAUCCCGGGCUCAACCUGGGAAUCACCUUUAAAUCUGUCCUCCUAGAGUUAUGUAGAGGGGGGUAGAAUUUCAGGUGUAGCGGUGAAAUUCGUAGAGAUUUGGAAGAAUCCCGGUGGGGAAGGCGGCCCCCUGGACAAAGACUGACGGUCAGGUGUGAAAGCGUGGGGAGCAAACAGGAUUAGAUUCCCUUGUAGUUCCACGCCGUAAACGAUGUCGAUUUGGAGGAUGUGUCCUUGAGAUGUGGCUUCCGGAGCUAACGCGUUAAAUCGACCGCCUGGGGAGUACGGCCGCAAGGUUAAAACUCAAAUGAAUUGACGGGGGCCCGCACAAGCGGUGGAGCAUGUGGUUUAAUUCGAUGCAACGCGAAGAACCUUAGCUGGCCUUGACAGAUGUGGAAUCCUGUAGAGAUACGGGAGUGCCUUAGGGAAUCAGAACACAGGUGAUGCAUGGCUGUUGUCAUCUGGUGUAGUGAGAUGUUGGGUUAAGUCUCGCAACGAGCGCAACCCCUGUCCUUUGUUGCCAGCACGUAAUGGUGGGAAUUCAAGGGAGACUGUCGGUGAUAAAUCGGAGGAAGGUGGGGAUUACGUCAAGUCAUCUUGUCCUUUACGGCCAGGGCUACACACGUGCUACAAUGGGGUGUACAGAGGGCUGCAAGCUAGUGAUAGUGAGAGUAUUCCAAAAAGAGUGUCGUAGUCGGGAUGGGAGUCUGCUACUAGAUUCCGUG
RNAcentral lists this ribosomal RNA (1249 nucleotides) under uncultured bacterium. Its description in RNAcentral is "bacterial SSU rRNA". It matches the Rfam family "Bacterial small subunit ribosomal RNA", at positions 78 to 1322 of the family's 1533-position model. The record is from RNAcentral.